This 76-nucleotide transfer RNA is filed under the name Oligoflexia bacterium. RNAcentral's name for it is "tRNA-Met". It matches the Rfam family "tRNA". From Rfam's summary of the family: Transfer RNA (tRNA) molecules are approximately 80 nucleotides in length. Their secondary structure includes four short double-helical elements and three loops (D, anti-codon, and T loops). Further hydrogen bonds mediate the characteristic L-shaped molecular structure. tRNAs have two regions of fundamental functional importance: the anti-codon, which is responsible for specific mRNA codon recognition, and the 3' end, to which the tRNAs corresponding amino acid is attached (by aminoacyl-tRNA synthetases). tRNAs cope with the degeneracy of the genetic code in two manners: having more than one tRNA (with a specific anti-codon) for a particular amino acid; and 'wobble' base-pairing, i.e. permitting non-standard base-pairing at the 3rd anti-codon position. The record is from RNAcentral. Lineage: Bacteria; Pseudomonadati; Bdellovibrionota; Oligoflexia.
GGCUGGGUAGCUCAGUUGGUAGAGCAUUGCAUUCAUCACGCAAAGGUCGCGGGAUCGUGCCCCGCCUCAGCCACCA